CUGGCUUGCUAGUGCAGCUCCCGCUUCCUGGUGCAGUGGUGAUGUGAUGGCAAGCUCUCUCUGUGUGUGAUAGAGUUGAGUGGGAAGUGGCAUUCUUCACUUCAGGAUGAAAAGGAGUAGGCUGCUAGACUGUGGGUCUCAAAAUUCCAGAUGAGGAGAGAUUUACUGAGACAAAAGCACGUGACUCUGAAUGGGGUGGAAGAAGCUGAUGAAGUUUGCCAGAAACAAGCACCAGUUUGCGUGUGGGGGUGUCACUGUCCAAAGAUUUGCUAGGAGAAGAAUAUGGCUCUUCCCUCCAAUCCCCAAACUAGACCUUGGACCAUCUCUCCACUGGACCACCAGCUACAAUGUCAACAGCUCCACAACUUGCAAGUCUUGCCAAAGUGUUUUAAAGGAUGAUUUAUUAAAGGAAAAUCUAAAUUAGCAAUUGGAUAUAUUCCACUAUAGGAACUUAAGACCACUCAUUAAUUCUACAACGACUUUCUGAGCACCUACCAGUGGGCCAGGCUGGGGAAAC
RNAcentral lists this long non-coding RNA (517 nucleotides) under Homo sapiens (human). RNAcentral describes it as "non-protein coding lnc-MRPL39-4:1". The record is from RNAcentral. Lineage: Eukaryota; Metazoa; Chordata; Mammalia; Primates; Hominidae.